RNAcentral lists this ribosomal RNA (384 nucleotides) under uncultured bacterium. RNAcentral's name for it is "bacterial SSU rRNA". It matches the Rfam family "Bacterial small subunit ribosomal RNA", at positions 28 to 417 of the family's 1533-position model. The record is from RNAcentral.
GACGAACGCUGGCGGCGUGCUUAACACAUGCAAGUCGAGCGGUAAGGCCCUUCGGGUACGACGAGCGGCGAACGGUGAGUAACACGUGGGUGACCUGCCUCUAGCUCUGGGAUAAGCCUGGGAAACUGGGUCGUAAUACCGGAUAUGACUCCACGGCGCAUGUUGUGGGGUGGAAAGCCUUGUGUGGCUAGAGAUGGGCCCGCGGCCUAUCAGCUUGUUGGUGGGGUGAUGGCCUACCAAGGCGACGACGGUAGCCGGCCUGAGAGGCGACCGGCCACACUGGGACUGAGACACGGCCCAGACUCCUACGGGAGGCAGCAGUGGGGAAUCUUGCGCAAUGGGCGAAAGCCUGACGCAGCGACGCCGCGUGAGGGAUGACGGCCU